UACGAAAAAAGAACCGAUUUAAAGGAUAUUACCCGUAUGACCAUAACCGGGUGAUGCUGCAGGAUGACCGUGAUGGCCGUAAGGGAGAUUACAUCAACGCCAGCUUCCUGGACGGCUACAAGACAGAACGGUAUUACAUAGCAGCUCAAAG
This is a long non-coding RNA of Haliotis rubra (blacklip abalone), 151 nucleotides long. RefSeq lists it as uncharacterized. NCBI's taxonomy places the organism in Eukaryota, Metazoa, Mollusca, Gastropoda, Lepetellida, Haliotidae. The transcript is spliced from 3 exons. The record is from RefSeq and is a predicted model, not a curated record.